Molecule: ribosomal RNA, 429 nt
Filed under: Chloroflexota bacterium
Lineage: Bacteria; Bacillati; Chloroflexota
Description: Chloroflexi bacterium partial 16S ribosomal RNA
Rfam family: Bacterial small subunit ribosomal RNA
Source: RNAcentral
UGGGGAAUAUUGCACAAUGGGCGCAAGCCUGAUGCAGCCAUGCCGCGUGUAUGAAGAAGGCCUUCGGGUUGUAAAGCACUUUCAGCGGGGAGGAAGGCGAUAAGGUUAAUAACCUUGUCGAUUGACGUUACCCGCAGAAGAAGCACCGGCUAACUCCGUGCCAGCAGCCGCGGUAAUACGGAGGGUGCAAGCGUUAAUCGGAAUUACUGGGCGUAAAGCGCACGCAGGCGGUUUGUUAAGUCAGAUGUGAAAUCCCCGGGCUCAACCUGGGAACUGCAUCUGAUACUGGCAAGCUUGAGUCUCGUAGAGGGGGGUAGAAUUCCAGGUGUAGCGGUGAAAUGCGUAGAGAUCUGGAGGAAUACCGGUGGCGAAGGCGGCCCCUUGGACGAAGACUGACGCUCAGGUGCGAAAGCGUGGGGAGCAAACAGG